CUCGCUGCUCUUCUCCUCCUCCCGCCGCUGCUCGAGAUCGUAUGAUCUCAUCCUCUCCUCUGGUCGUGGUCUUAUUUCAGAGCUUCUUGUUCUCGAACCUUUUCGGCUUUUCUUGGUUCCUGAGACUUGGUGCGAUCUCGACCGGGCUUUCAGUUUCGUCGGGGAACGGAACCGCUAUAGCCCCCGAGAUCGCGAGCAUAGGUGAAGCUUGGCGAACUGCCAUAUCCUCCAAGAUCUCGUCGAGCUGUGGCCGGCACAAGUCCAAUGGAUUGCAGCAGCGCGCUCUCCACCAAACCCGUCCCUCCCGCUCCUCCAAACCCCUCCUCCGCGAACCUCCCGGAAUCCCCGACUCCGCAGCGCAAGAUUUGGAUCAAGCCGACGGCUCCGGCUUCCAAGAAGCAGCAGCAGCAGCAGCGGAGGAAGAAAGGGUCUGGGUGGGACGAGAAGAGGGUGGUGGGUUUCGUGGAUUACGACGAGGGCGAGCGCCGCGUCUCUACCGAGAUCAGCGGGGCCCGCAAGGAUGAGAUCCCUGCGAGGUACCGCCUCCGCGUCGACGGCAGCCGCUGGCAGAAGGACUGGAAGCUCUCCGAGGUCGUCGACCAGGUGAUGAGGCUGCGCCACUGGGAGGACAUCGAUGGCGUCCUCAACCGCUGGGCCGGUCGCUUCGCUCGGAAAAACUUCCCUCUCCUCAUUCGGGAAAUAACAAGUACUGGUUCCCUUGAUCAUGCUGUACAUGUGUUCCGGUGGAUGAAAAAUCAGAGACACUACUCUCCUCGGAGUGACAUCUACAAUAUGCUCAUUAGUCUGCAUGCCAAACAUAAUCAAACUGAUCAAGCACGCGGUUUAUUUUUUGAGAUGCAACAGUGGAGGUGCAAACCUGAUACUGAAACCUAUAAUUCUCUCAUUAAUGCACAUGGUCGAGUUGGUCAGUGGCGUUGGGCUGUGAAUAUUAUGGAAGAUAUGCUUCAAGCUGCUAUACCUCCUAGCCGAACUACAUACAAUAAUUUGAUUAGUGCUUGUGGAUCUGGUGGCCACUGGAAAGAGGCUCUUGAAAUUUGCAAGAAAAUGACAGAAAAUGGUGUGGGGCCUGAUUUGGUGACUCAUAACAUUAUUUUAUCAGCUUUCAAAAGAGGAGCUCAAUAUUCAAAAUCUCUGGCUUACUUUGAUCUGAUGAAAGAAACAAAUAUUUGCCCUGACACUAUCACUUUUAAUAUAGUUAUACAUUGCCUUGUUAAGCUUGGACAAUUUGGAAAAGCAGUGGAUGUUUUUAACUCAAUGCGAGAGAGAGGUGCAAAGUGUCAGCCUGAUAUAGUUACUUUUACCUGCAUCAUUCAUGCAUAUUCAACUUGUGGACAAAUUGAGAAUUGCAAGGUGGCAUUUGAUAUGAUUCUUGCUGAAGGACUGAAACCUAAUAUUGUUGCUUAUAAUGCACUAAUUGGUGCCUAUGCUUCUAAUGGAAUGCAUACAGAGGCAUUGGCCACUUUUAAUUUACUUAAACAUGCAGGAUUGAGACCUGAUGUUGUAUCAUACACUUCCUUACUUAAUGCUUAUGGACGAUCAGGACAGCCCGAAAAGGCUAAAGGAUUCUUUGACAUGAUUAAACAGAAUUCGUUGAGGCCAAAUAUUGUUAGUUACAACGCAUUAAUUGAUGCAUAUGGAUCUUCAGGUUUGUUGGCUGAAGCCAUAGGAGUGUUGCAUGCCAUGGAAGAAGAUGGUGUUCAAGCAGAUAUUGUCUCAAUAAGCACACUUUUGGCAGCUUGUGGCCGAUGUAGUCAAAUUGUAAACAUUGACUCUAUACUAUCAGCGGCUAGAUCACGACGGAUUAAGUUAAACACAGUUGCAUAUAACUCGGCAAUUGGGAGCUAUAUGAGUGUGGAGGAAUAUGAUAAAGCUGUAUCUUUAUACAGGUCAAUGAGAGAAGAUAAUAUAAAACCUGAUUCCAUUACUUUCAAUAUACUAAUUAGUGGUUCUUGUAAGGUGAAAAAAUAUGCAGAGUCCUUACAGUUUUUGGAUGAGAUGAUGGACCUAAAUAUUCCAUUUUCCAAGGAGGUUUACUCAUCUCUGAUCCACUCAUACAGCAAACAGGGCCAGCUAACAGAGGCUGAAUCUAUUUUCAAUAUGAUGAAGGGGACUGAUUGCUCACCUGAUGUUAUAACAUACACUUCCAUGAUUCAUGCAUAUUCUAUAGCAGGGAACUGGAUGAAAGCCUGGGAGCUGUUUGAAGACAUGGAAAGAAAUAACAUUCAGCCAGAUCCUGUUCUAUGUUCAUCAUUAAUAGAAGCCCUGAACAUUGGAUGCCAACCUGAGAAGGUUCUUUGGUUGGCAGAAUUGAUGAGAGAGAAGUAUAUCCCAUUAAACUCAAGUGCUUCUUUUGGGGUCAUAUAUGCUUGCAGCAUGGUAAGAGACUGGAGGGCAGCAAGCAAAACGAUUGAAUGUAUGGAGACAUCAUUCUCAUCAAUUUCACUUGGUCUCUUAAAUCAGAUUCUGCAUUUCCUUGGAAAGAGUGGAAAGAUUGAGACCAUGAUGAAGGUUUAUUACAAGAUAUUAUCCUCACAUUCAAACGUCAGCUUGGUAACACACACAAUUUUGUUGAAGAAUCUUUUAGCAUCUGGAAGAUGGAGGAUGUGUAUUGAGGUUUUGCAGUGGAUGGAAGAUGCAGGAAUUCAACCAACACUAAACAUGUAUCGCAGUGUUCUUUCAUAUGCUAGGAAGGACAACAGCGUGGAACAUGCUAAUCUCAUCCAAGAAAGAAUAAGUACCUUAAGAGGCAAGAUCGACUAAGGCUUAACUAAGCUGUGAAAAUCGAUGCCCUUUAAUGGAAGGAGCAAGUGGAACCCAGUAGUCAUAAGAAUGCCUACUAAUUUCCAGAAGUCAUACAUUCAUGUGAAAGGAAUGAAUGAUCUAAUGUCGGCACUUUAAUAAUACUCUAGCUGAUCACUCGACUUUGGCUCUGGGAGCCCUAGGGUUUCUUUGUCUGCAACUGUUCGUCUUGGUAGGAAAAGGAAGAAGAGUAAAAGAGAAGAGGAAGAGGAGAUUCCUCUCUUGUUCCUCGUCUGAGAAAGAUUAUAUGGUAAGUGCCUCAUUCGUCUUUCUAUUUUCUUUUUUUGGUUCUUUACUAUUGAUACCGAUUGGUGCAAGAUGAUAUAUUGGCAUAUCACAAUAUUGUACUGGUUUGGCCAUAGGAGACAUUGAAUAGUUUGGUUCAAAAUAUUUAGAAACCAAAAUGUAUAUGAUUUGGAUGGCCUUUAAUGUGGUCAUCAAACUAAGAUGAUGAACAAUAUUAAUUUAAUGCAUGAAAAUUGUUCAUGCAUUAAAGUAUGAUUUGGCUACCUUGCAAAUGAUCAAACAUUGACCAUGAUCUAAAUAUUGUUUUAUAUGUACAAUAACUCAUCUGUUUUUUUUUAAAUACAAAUGUAUUCUGUGCAGUUAAAAAAAAAAGACGUUUUUCUCCACUUAGCGCUUAUGUUGGAAUGUCUUCAGAAAAGAAAUCUUUUAUAAUGUAUUGCCUUUUCAGCUUUGAUUAUGUUUUUGAGGUGACAGGAUUCAGGUCUUCAUCCUGCUGACGAUAUUCAGGUCUCUCUCUCUCUCUCUCUCUCUCUCACACACACACAGGUUGAUGGAUAUGCAUACAGACACAGCAUUUCAGAUUUAAUCAUGUAUGUUCUCGUGAGAUCUUUGGACCACAAGAACUGCAGGUGACUGAAAUAGUGUGUUCACUGUUACUAUGUACUGAUAUACACCAUGUGAGACCAUUUUUCAAUUGCUACUCUAGACAUGAUAACUUUAUCAAAUUUUUUGUUCCAGUAGAACAUACACUAAUCUUCUUUUCGUCUCCUCAAGUGGUGAUCAUCUUAUUUUCAUUGUAACAGGGACGAGAUCACCAUCUGUCAUGUUGAUAAUCUUACUUUGGCAUUGUCAAAGUAAACAAAUAUCACCAGGCUCUUGGUGGAAAUAUAUCCAUAAGAUGUUGAUUUCAGCUACCCUGGAACAAGGUAGCUAAUCAUCAAUUUGGUGCAAUCCCCACCAGAUGAACCAGUGAUCAAGUCAUGAAGGAUAUCUUUAUAAAAGUCGGUGGAGUUGCUGAAUAUACUGUGGCAAAAGAUGAGAAAUUGGAAAGGUAGCAACCCUGACACUGUAUAAUGGCAUUUCAAAUAUGAUACCAGACACAAAGAUGAGCAUAAUCAUAAGCUAACUCUUAUAUUGUUUUAUUUUAGCGACAAACAAACAAGCCUUUUUUG
Molecule: RNA transcript, 4238 nt
Organism: Musa acuminata AAA Group (dessert banana)
Lineage: Eukaryota; Viridiplantae; Streptophyta; Magnoliopsida; Zingiberales; Musaceae
Gene name: pentatricopeptide repeat-containing protein At2g41720
Exons: 12
Source: RefSeq, a predicted model, not a curated record